ACACUAAAUGGGGGUAUUUUUCAAGCGUUUUGGGAGUUUACUCUUUGCUGGCAGUAGUAACUUCUUUUUAUUAUUAUUUAUUUAUUUAUUUAUUUUGACAGGCAGAGUGGACAGUGAGAGAGAGAAACAGAGAGAAAGGUCUUCCUUUGCCCUUGGUUCACCCUCCAAUGGCUGCCACGGCCAGCGCACCGUGCUGAUCCGAUGGCAGGAGCCAGGUGCUUCUCCUGGUCUCCCAUGAGAUGCAGGGCCCAAGUACUUGGGCCAUCCUCCACUGCACUCCCGGGCCACAGCAGAGAGCUGGCCUGGAAGAGGGGAAACUGGGAAAGAAUCCAGCGCCCCGACUGGGACUAGAACCCAGUGUGCCGGCGCCGCAAGACGGAGGGUUAGCCUAGUGAGCCACGGCGCCGGCCAGUAGUAAAUUCUUGAUUCCUGGUCCCACGGCCUGUCCCGGCAGCAGCACUGGGCAGUGAGUGUCUCAUGGGCUCUGCCACUCCGGGAGCAUCUGUCGUCAGGAGCUGAUCUCGCAGAAGGGACUUCGGCUACCACAGACUCUGUUCUGAUGGACGAGCUCAGGUUUCAGGCUUCCUUCCUGCUGCCCUUGCUCUAACCUCUCCUAAAGGCAAGGUGAACGCCGUCUCCCACUUGACACCUGCUGAGUAGGGCUGUGUCCGCUGCAGCCUCUGUCUGCCCUCAUUCUCGGGGCUUUCCCAAGAAGGACCUGUAGCAAGACCUGCCUAGUGGCCUGGGCGUUGGAAACGAUUCGGAACUACCCGGACAAUGGCCUGAUCUCUGGGCUACAGGGAAGGGAGCCGAGGUGGUGGUUCAGCAAGGCAGUUUUAAAAGCUGACCAGUCUUCGUGGCCUUUUUCGAUGCCAGUAGCAAGUCACCAAAGUAGGAGUUGCUGGCGGGAUUGUCCCAGGGUCAGUCAUGCAGAAGUGGCAGCAGCUUUGGCCAAUGGGAAGGAGAGCUGACUUGCUGGAGGGGCCCUAAUUGGCUGCUGGCGCAGUUGCGUGCCACCCGUGUCAAGGCUGUGCUGGCAGCCCCAGCGCGGCAGGCUUUCGGGAGACAUCUGGCAGCAAGGACCCUAGCACCUCUUUCUCGAAGGAGGCUCCCGGUCGAUUCAUCUGCGGGCCCACAAGGACAGGCUCGUUUAGCGGAGCCAACAUGUUUCAAAGAAAAGUAUAUUUUCAUUAACUAGCCUCAAAGCCGUAAUUAUAUGUUCAGAGAGCACAGUAAAAAUUUAUUUCUAAAUAUUUGGCAGGGAAAGGUUGAAGGCGGGGUGUGUGUGUGUCCAACAUGUUGCAUGUGUUUUAAAUAAACCAGCAUCUUCCCCUCUAAAAAGGAAGCAGGAAAUACAAUCGGAGACUUUGAAAUUUAAUUUUUAGCAACAGGAUGUGUUUCUAAAUACCGCUAACAUAUCAAAAGGGGAAUGUGUAGUUAAAGGCUUUAAAAUUGUUAUCAAAGCAAUUGCAAAGCAAAUGAGGUGGCUUUUUUUUUUUUAAUGGAGGGUGGUGUCUGAACACAGGAAACCAAAUCCCCAUCAAAGAUCAAAAGCAACGGUGGCGUCUUUGUAUGAGAUUCAGCUGAACUUGGAUGCUUCCCCCCACCCCCCAUCUGAUUCACAGUUUAUAAUCACAGUUAUCACAGAACCAUUAAAAGCCUAUUAACUCGAAUUCCCACAAUUCCUUGAGGGCAAGGGCAGAGAGAGAGCAAAAUAACUUUGGAUGUAAAUGGAAUACAACAUUCGACAGGAGAGAGUCUUUUAAUUAUGCCAGCGACGGAAGAUGUCUCACGGAUGUGUCUACCCUAGCAGAUGGUUGAGGAAGUGUUAGGUGCUCGUGCUGCUCCGGGAAGGAUUUCUCUGCGGAGAGGUGGGCGGAGGGUAGGGGGGCAGUGGAGAGGGUAGGGGGGCAGUGGGGAGGUGAGGGGGGCGUCCAGACCCUUCUGGGCGGGGAAGGGCAGAGGACUUGUUAAAAUGUAGCUGCUGGUUAGGCUGCCUGGAUACACUCUGUGUGGUGGUGGAUCGAAUCAGCCCGAGCAGAACCCUCAGCCGCAGUCCGUGGAGGCAGAAGCCGGGCAGAUACUCGGGCCAUUGUCAUGUGAGAAAUGUGAUGUCGUGUUUUUCCACCCUUCAGUGCCUCCGCUGACAUCUCCCCUAACAACGCUAUUAUGUGCUCGAGCCGGGGGACAGUGCAGUCAAUAAGCUGUCUUGUGGCUUCAGAUAAAACAGAGGGUUCUUAUCUUGCCGCAGAACAAUUAGAUGCAUCCAAUUACUUUUAAAAAAUCAUACAGCUGUGAGCUGUGUGCAUUCCAAAGGCACAGCCUGUCCCCAAAUCGCAGAGCCCAGCACCAUGAGGCAAACACCCCUGCACUGGGACGUGGGCCCUCAGUGCACCCCCCGUUUUUCUCUCUCUCUCUCUCUCACGCGCACACACACACACACACACACACACUCCUGCCGACUGUACCCAGACCUCACCUUGCUGUUGGUAAAACAAUACCGGAGUCGCCUUAGGAGAAAAGCACUUUCUCCCUGUUGUCUGAAAUAACUAAUUCCAAUCAAUCCACCCUCACCGUAAGUGAGUUCUUCCUGCAUGAAUUACCCACAUUCACUGCCCAGCAUGAUCUCAUUCCCGCCGUGGAUAAAGCAAAUGACGGAGUCCGGAGGGAGUGGGUUAUUGACUAAGUGCUUAAUUAGGCGCACAGCCCUUAUGCGGUCAUUCUGGAGCAGUCAAGACAACUGGACCGUGGCGUGGCAAAGCCAUGCAUUGCGUCUGCGCUUAUUUGCCUGCACCACAGCGAUCGGUGUUAAAGCUGGAGACAAGCACACUGUGCGCACUGACGUAGCUGUGCAAAGCAGCAGCCGGUGCCGAGGCAUCCGCUCCAGGGUAGCAUUAUCCACACCCGAGGGUGGGCGUGGCGCCGUCUAGAAACGUCCAUGCUCCAGAGAGAAGCCCUUCUGCAUCCCAGAGUGCAAACCCACUUACUCUCUGAGCCUGACUUUGGCUUGUGCAGCCGUGAGCCCUGGCGGUACAGGGACCACUGUCCAAUCAGAGGUCAGAGGUUAAGGCUUCUGCACUCAUCGUGACCGGGUGGCGCCCUCCGUCCACUGCCCUUUCCUGAGAACGGAGGGCGUGGGGGUGCAGGCAGCAGAGGUGUGCCUCAGGCAUCUCGAACGCAGGCUCCUCAAACGCUCCUGCGCACACAGAUCGCCCAGGAAUGCGGCUGAAACGCCGAUUUGGGUUGAGCAGGUCUGGAGAGAGUCCUAGGAGCCUGCAUUUCUGGAAGGUGUGGCUGGACAAGGUGGAAGUAGUGAGGUCUUAGUGGGAGGGGGGCUCCCACCCUCACAGCCAACUCACAUGGGGCUGGGACGGGACAAAAAAAAAUGAGGCAGGUGACGUUUCGGUGACAAGAUUCACUGGCAGCUGGAGAGGAGCCGGAGAGGAGGCGGAGAACAAGACAGUUGUCCCCUGAGCCAAGCGGCCUGUCUAGGCCGGCUUCCCUGCCGGGCCUGCUCUUCACUGGACCGAAUAAGCAGGUGACCCGAGGGUGGAAGCCAACGCGGUCAGCCCUGACGCCCUGUGUGCUUCUUCCGCCUUUUCAAGACAAACCCCAGGGGCCGGAGUGCCCUGGAACGUGCAGAAAGAGCAAGGGCGAGGAAGGACAAAAGCGCGCUCAGCCACACGAUUAACCGAGUCAAUGAACCCCGGGUCCCCGCAGAGCUGGAGAAAGGGAGGCCCAGAGCCAGAGCCCGGCCCAAGUCUGUCUUUUACGACUUUGUCUUCUUAUUAUCUUGGUAACAGGGCUCUUUUAUUAGCUUGCCGUCUCCUGCCAACUUGAUGAAAUCUCCAUUAUGUUUUAUAGCUCAAAAUAAGAGGAUAAGAGAAGGUUUUAACCAGCAGACCGAUCUCGUCUUCGUUUUGGGAGCCUGUCUCCCUGCCCCCUCUCUCUCCGUGCGGGGUGGAGAUGGACUCUUUGGCGUGUCCCAGGUCACUGUGCAUUUUCUCUUUGCCAGGAAGAGGGGCAUUUAUCUUGUGCUUCGCGAUUCUGCAUGCUGGGUCUCGCACGUGGGCACCCUCUGUUUGGCAGCCCACCUAUGACUACUGCUGCCUUGUGCUGUGUUUUCCAGGGCUGUGCCAAUGAAGCCGUGUGAGAGGCCAGGGGCAGUCGUGUCUCUGCAGAUGAGAACAAUCCCAGACACGCAGACAGUCACGUGCGGAGGACUCCAAGUAUUUCCACCUGUCUUUGCAGAAUUUAGAGAAAGAGCAAAUAAGCAUGACCCCCCUGGCUGCAUUUUCGGACAUCUUACUGCUAAGGAGCUGUUGGGCAAAUGGCCGAAGCUCUCCACUGGUGACGUUUGCUGCUGUUGUCUGCUCCCAUGUCUCUGCCGCCCCCUGACAUUGACUGGCCGGUCAGGGUCGCAGAAGGAGGUCCGCAGCUGCCCGCACCGCCUGCGCCGCCCGCCUCCCUGCGCUCUCCCCCCAGCCCCUGCUCCAGCUGCACCCUCCUCUCUGGCAUGGAAGCUCCCCCACCCCCAGCCUCCUUUGGGUUCUCCUCCCAACAUCAGCCUCUGACAGGCGGUCCCCCUGCCGGGAAUCUCUCUUCUUCAUUUCUUCAUCACUUUUCGGAUCCAUGUAGGCCUCCCUGCCACACGCAACUGGAGCACCCCAGGCCUCUCGUUUCCUAAUGUGAACCUGAGAGCACAUGCGGAAGAGGUGCGAGUGUCUUUUUAAAAAGAUUCCUUCAUUCAUCAUCCAUUUGAAAGGCAGAGCAACAGAGAGGGAGGGAGGGACAGAGAUCUUCCAUCCGUUGGUCCAUUCCCCAAACGGCUGGUGACCCAGGCAGUGGCUUAACCGCUGUGCCAGAAGGCCAGCCCCACAAAAUGUCAUUUAAGAUGCGGCUUCAGUUCCGGUGGCGGUGACCAAGUGAAUGCACACGACCAGCUGUGCUGGAGGCGGCGCUGAAUUCAGGCUCCUAAAUGCUAAGUCUUUGGCAUCCUCUGUCCUUUCCAAGCCUGUCUCAGAUGCAGAAGCAGCAUCCUGCACCGGCCCGUCACUGACACCUGGCGGCGUGGUCCUGCUGCGCUCCCACGGGGAAGGCCACGGAUCGGCAUGGAAUGACAGCCCCUGGUUCCCGGCCUACCAGGGCCCACCUUAGAGAAGAGGUGUGGCUAAGGCACUCACAGGCCCUGUUUGCUGCAGAUCACAGAGAAAGCAUGAAAAGAAACCCUCUUGUAACAGCACUACCUGGCAGUGUCUCAAGGUUGGGGUGUGUAAUAAAAUGAACCAGGUUUGAUGCUGGCA
Non-coding RNA from Oryctolagus cuniculus (rabbit), 5303 nucleotides. Lineage: Eukaryota; Metazoa; Chordata; Mammalia; Lagomorpha; Leporidae. The record is from RefSeq and is a predicted model, not a curated record.